RNAcentral lists this small nuclear RNA (100 nucleotides) under Solanum tuberosum (potato). The record is from RNAcentral. Lineage: Eukaryota; Viridiplantae; Streptophyta; Magnoliopsida; Solanales; Solanaceae.
GUCCCUUGGGGGACGUCCAAUAAAAUUAGAAUGAUACAGAGAAGAUUAGCAUUGGCCCCCAACAACGACAUGCGCAAAUCGAAAAAUGGUUUAAUUUUAU